RNAcentral lists this long non-coding RNA (2618 nucleotides) under Citrus sinensis (sweet orange). RNAcentral's name for it is "long non-coding RNA (CSIN_LNC000606)". The record is from RNAcentral. Lineage: Eukaryota; Viridiplantae; Streptophyta; Magnoliopsida; Sapindales; Rutaceae.
AAUAACCAAAACAAUAAUGAUAAUAUUGUUAAUAAUGAUAAAUUAAUUAUUUUUAUUAAUUAUUAAUACUAUGGGUAUUUUAGUAAAUUGAUUCUCAUUCCCAUUUCCAUUCCCAUUCCCAUUUAUUUUUGCCAAGUAAACAUUGAAAUCUGAUUCUCAUUCCACCCCAUUCUUAUUCCACCCCAUUCCCAUUCCUAACUCAUUCCUAUUCUACCCCAUUCUCAUUCCCACGAAGUAAAUGCACCAUAAAAUCUCUCACCUUCAUAGGGGAGUGGAUUGGGUUGUUGGCACAUACGGACAUGUAUGACCACAUUGAUCCUUUUUGUCAGUGUCUGUAGAUCAUCAUUUUGGUCAUCGUUAUUGUAGGAAAUUUUGUUAAUUUGACUAGUAAGUGAAGUUUUAGUUGGAUUUGAAUAUAGGCUGCAGCUGAUUACAAUCAUUUAAACAGGCACUAGGAUGCAUGUACAUGUCCUCAUAAUACUUGUGAUACGCAUAACUAUUCACGACAUAUCUAUUUCACGCUCAGUCAUUGAUGAUAUGUUCUUGAAAGAUGUAUCUGUUUGUGUCAGUCUUAUUAAAUUUCUUGUCUUUGCUACUAAUCUGGUAUCAAUUCUUUUGUCUAAACUCUUUCAGUCAUUGCUGUCAUUCCAAUGGUUUGAUUACAAUGAUCCACACAUAGGUCAAGAAUAGAGUUAGUUCUUGGUUUACAUAUAGUUUAUAAUAUUGGUAGAUAUUUAUAACUGAAUGAACUUGUAUCAUCUUCAUCUUGGACUAAACUUCGAUUUUCCUUCCUCAGGUCUCUCUGUCAUGAGCAGGUUGGCUCGGAACAGGCUUCAUCAAUCAGACUAUGAUCUUGAAGAGAGAUCAAUUGACUGGGACCAUGUUGAAAUGUAAGGGAGUAUGAUAUCUCUGGCCUUUGAGGAAAGACCUCACAGCUCUGUCCGACAGACUGUUCACUUGCAUUGGUAACUUAGCACAGCCACUGGACAUUCUUCUAGUAUAUAGAAUGUCUAAUUUUCCAAAAAACAUUACAUGAUGGCGUGUCUCCAUCCUACUUUUUGUAGAUUUAACUCAAGACAAGUUUUGGACCAAAAAUACAUUAAUCCUUGGAAUUAUAUAUAUGUAUACAUUGUAUGAAAACUAGGAUAAAAUGAUUAUUUGUGUUUUUUGAAAAAUUUACAGUAGAAAAUUUUAUGUUGAGUGCUUGGAUGUGCACUGUAUUUCAUUUUACGAAUUUUCACCACGCAUCAUCAUUCUCUUCUUCUUCUUCUUCUUCUUCCCCUUUCGGUGUGAAAUGUGAUGCUGACUAGAGUAUGCAGUAGCAAAUCCAAAAUUAUUCCCGUUACCGUUAUGACAUUCUUAGGCUUGCUUUGUAGUUUAUUUACACUCAAAAAAUUACUCUGAACACUCGUUUGUUAAAUUUAAAAAAUUAAAUUUAUUUUUUACACUCUAAAAUGAUAAAAAAAGAGUUAAUUUAAAUUGGUCAAACUAAUUUAUUCUAAACACCAAUUAAACUAUUUAGUACAUCAAAAAAGAAUCAAUAACAAUUUAGUAUAUAUAACAUUUGAAUCAAAUUAUGUUGUAGAUAAAUUCUUUAAUAUAAUUUUUAGUUAUCAAUUUUUGUUUAUUAAAGAAUAUAUUCAAUAUUGAUAUUCACACCAUAAUUUUUUAAUAUAACAUUUAAAAAAAAAGGCCAUCUGCCCCAGGAAAAAAAAAAAAAAAAAUAACUAUUCACGACAUAUCUAUUUCACGCUCAGUCAUUGAUGAUAUGUUCUUGAAAGAUGUAUCUGUUUGUGUCAGUCUUAUUAAAUUUCUUGUCUUUGCUACUAAUCUGGUAUCAAUUCUUUUGUCUAAACUCUUUCAGUCAUUGCUGUCAUUCCAAUGGUUUGAUUACAAUGAUCCACACAUAGGUCAAGAAUAGAGUUAGUUCUUGGUUUACAUAUAGUUUAUAAUAUUGGUAGAUAUUUAUAACUGAAUGAACUUGUAUCAUCUUCAUCUUGGACUAAACUUCGAUUUUCCUUCCUCAGGUCUCUCUGUCAUGAGCAGGUUGGCUCGGAACAGGCUUCAUCAAUCAGACUAUGAUCUUGAAGAGAGAUCAAUUGACUGGGACCAUGUUGAAAUGUAAGGGAGUAUGAUAUCUCUGGCCUUUGAGGAAAGACCUCACAGCUCUGUCCGACAGACUGUUCACUUGCAUUGGUAACUUAGCACAGCCACUGGACAUUCUUCUAGUAUAUAGAAUGUCUAAUUUUCCAAAAAACAUUACAUGAUGGCGUGUCUCCAUCCUACUUUUUGUAGAUUUAACUCAAGACAAGUUUUGGACCAAAAAUACAUUAAUCCUUGGAAUUAUAUAUAUGUAUACAUUGUAUGAAAACUAGGAUAAAAUGAUUAUUUGUGUUUUUUGAAAAAUUUACAGUAGAAAAUUUUAUGUUGAGUGCUUGGAUGUGCACUGUAUUUCAUUUUACGAAUUUUCACCACGCAUCAUCAUUCUCUUCUUCUUCUUCUUCUUCUUCCCCUUUCGGUGUGAAAUGUGAUGCUGACUAGAGUAUGCAGUAGCAAAUCCAAAAUUAUUCCCGUUACCGUUAUGACAUUCUUAGGCUUGCUUUGUAGUUUAUUUACAC